AGAGUUUGAUCAUGGCUCAGGAUGAACGCUAGCUACAGGCUUAACACAUGCAAGUCGAGGGGAAACGACAUCGAAAGCUUGCUUUUGAUGGGCGUCGACCGGCGCACGGGUGAGUAACGCGUAUCCAACCUGCCCACCACUUGGGGAUAACCUUGCGAAAGUAAGACUAAUACCCAAUGAUAUCUCUAGAAGACAUCUGAAAGAGAUUAAAGAUUUAUCGGUGAUGGAUGGGGAUGCGUCUGAUUAGCUUGUUGGCGGGGUAACGGCCCACCAAGGCAACGACCAGUAGGGUUCUGAGAGGAAGGUCCCCCACAUUGGAACUGAGACACGGUCCAAACUCCUACGGGAGGCAGCAGUGAGGAAUAUUGGUCAAUGGGCGAGAGCCUGAACCAGCCAAGUAGCGUGCAGGAAGACGGCCCUAUGGGUUGUAAACUGCUUUUAUAAGGGAAUAAAGUGAGUCUCGUGAGACUUUUUGCAUGUACCUUAUGAAUAAGGACCGGCUAAUUCCGUGCCAGCAGCCGCGGUAAUACGGAAGGUCCGGGCGUUAUCCGGAUUUAUUGGGUUUAAAGGGAGCGUAGGCCGGAGAUUAAGCGUGUUGUGAAAUGUAGACGCUCAACGUCUGCACUGCAGCGCGAACUGGUUUCCUUGAGUACGCACAAAGUGGGCGGAAUUCGUGGUGUAGCGGUGAAAUGCUUAGAUAUCACGAAGAACUCCGAUUGCGAAGGCAGCUCACUGGAGCGCAACUGACGCUGAAGCUCGAAAGUGCGGGUAUCGAACAGGAUUAGAUACCCUGGUAGUCCGCACGGUAAACGAUGGAUGCCCGCUGUUGGUCUGAACAGGUCAGCGGCCAAGCGAAAGCAUUAAGCAUCCCACCUGGGGAGUACGCCGGCAACGGUGAAACUCAAAGGAAUUGACGGGGGCCCGCACAAGCGGAGGAACAUGUGGUUUAAUUCGAUGAUACGCGAGGAACCUUACCCGGGCUUGAAUUGCAGAGGAAGGAUUUGGAGACAAUGACGCCCUUCGGGGUCUCUGUGAAGGUGCUGCAUGGUUGUCGUCAGCUCGUGCCGUGAGGUGUCGGCUUAAGUGCCAUAACGAGCGCAACCCCUCUCCUUAGUUGCCAUCAGGUUAAGCUGGGCACUCUGGGGACACUGCCACCGUAAGGUGUGAGGAAGGUGGGGAUGACGUCAAAUCAGCACGGCCCUUACGUCCGGGGCUACACACGUGUUACAAUGGCAGGUACAGAG
Molecule: ribosomal RNA, 1244 nt
Filed under: metagenome
Description: bacterial SSU rRNA
Rfam family: Bacterial small subunit ribosomal RNA
Source: RNAcentral